AACGAACGCUGGCGGCGCGUCUUAAACAUGCGAGUCGAACGGCAGGAAGGGGCUUGCCCCUUCUGAGAGUGGCGGACUGGUGAGUAACACGUGGGUGACAUACCUUUUAGUUGGGGAUAGCUAUUAGAAAUAGUAGGUAAUACCGAAUGUGACCGUACCUGUUAGAGGGGUACGAGGAAAGGAGCUAAGGCUUCGCUAAAAGAAUGGCUCGCGGCCCAUUAUGCUCGUUGGUGAGGUAACGGCCCACCAAGGCGAUGAUGGGUAUCCGGCCUGAGAGGGUGAACGGACACAUUGGGACUGAGAUACGGCCCAGACUUCUACGGGAGGCAGCAGUUAAGAAUAUUCCGCAAUGGACGAAAGUCUGACGGAGCGACGCCGCGUGGAUGAAGAAUGCCGAAAGGUUGUAAAAUCCUUUUAAGCCUGAUGAAUAAGCACAGUAGGGAAUGAUUGUGCGGUGACCGUAGGGCUUGAAUAAGCACCGGCUAAUUACGUG
RNAcentral lists this ribosomal RNA (493 nucleotides) under uncultured bacterium. RNAcentral's name for it is "partial 16S ribosomal RNA". It matches the Rfam family "Bacterial small subunit ribosomal RNA", at positions 29 to 507 of the family's 1533-position model. The record is from RNAcentral.